RNAcentral lists this ribosomal RNA (45 nucleotides) under Rotheca commiphoroides. RNAcentral's name for it is "partial 26S ribosomal RNA". The record is from RNAcentral. Lineage: Eukaryota; Viridiplantae; Streptophyta; Magnoliopsida; Lamiales; Lamiaceae.
GCGACCCCAGGUCAGGCGGGAUCACCCNNUGAGUUUAAGCAUAUC